Molecule: long non-coding RNA, 1886 nt
Organism: Canis lupus familiaris (dog)
Lineage: Eukaryota; Metazoa; Chordata; Mammalia; Carnivora; Canidae
Exons: 3
Source: RefSeq, a predicted model, not a curated record
UGGUGCAUGGAGCCUGCUUCUCCCUCUGCCUAUGUCUCUGCCUCUCUCUCUCUCUCUGUGUGUGUGACUAUCAUAAAUAAAUAAAAAUUUAAAAAAAAAAUAAUAAUAAUGACCCAAUGUGGACUAACCCAUACCUUGAAACACUGCCUUUUAGGAUGCAGGAGGAUUGGAGUGAGGAUGCAUCCUGUCCAGGGGAAGACCGAAAACUUCCUGAGAUUGGGGUGGCAAAAUGACCAGUCAUUUUGGCAUCUGUGACUGUCCUCUCUCCCCUCUCCCCGCAGUUCUACAGUCUUCCUCAGGUCUCCCACCUGCCUCUGCAGUGAAAUGGGGACAGGAUACCUCCUGGCUGAAAUUGGCCUCCAAGCUUGGCUGCAAUUCUGCCUACCUCCUUCCUCAUUUAUGGGAGACAUUGCUCAGGGAUUCUGGCCCUCCCUGCCAAGCCUUCUAGGCAACCUGGCAAUCUGGCCUCAGAGACGAUGGUGAGCAGAUGAAAGCUGCCUGCUAUAUCCCAGAUAGAUCAAGACCCAGUUCUGCGAGAGCCUUUGGUCCAGAAAAAGGCACCAGGAAGAGACUCUCCACCCACCAUUCCAGAUUUUAUUUAUUCAUGAGAGACACAGGCAGAGGGAGAAGCAGACCCCAUACAGGGAGCCUGAUGAGGGACUCGAUCCCGGAACUCCAGGAUCACACCUGGGCAGAAGGCAGGUACUAAACCGCUGAGCCACCCGGGGCUGCCCUCCGGGUUGGGUUUGCAGCGAGCACCUAGAGGGAUGAGAGAGUGGCUCCCUGUGGGACAAAGCAGGCUUGCCUGCUUCUUACUAUAAAGGGCCAGGUCUCCAGAGCUCAUGUCCUGCUCCUGUGGUACAACCCAUUGCCCCCAUGGGGCAGAGGGAACCAACCUGCUGAUGCUUAAGCUGCUUGCUGGGAGUAAGAAAGCUCUGCCUCUGACCCAGGAAUCUCAAGGCCUCUGCCAGCAUUUUGGAAACAGUUACCAGCUAACUUGUUAACUUGCAAAUAGAGUGAAAUAAAAUCCCAGACACAACAGUCAGUUGGGUGGUGGCCAAGUUUGGCUUUCUGUAGCCGGGCUGUCAGCCCCUUAGCAUGCCCCCAAAGGGGGGCCCAUCAAGAAGUUCUGAUCAUUAGUGUUCCAGAAUGCCCAGGGCCAGUGCCACACUUCAGUCUUGGGACAGAGGAAACUGAGUCCCUACGUACUGUGCACUUAAAGUCAUCCAUCUCCUGGGACAUGGUUAAGUUCAAAGAAAACGUUUUCGUAUAGGGAUUAUGAUGUUUAUAGGACCAGGGUGCUCUGUUCAGGUAAACUUCAGGACAGAGAUGAAAGUAGGCCUUGCAGCAGUGCUUUUUCCUCAUGUGUAGGGGUGCAGGAUGCCCGUGGAAGGCUGUGCCCCAGCCACCCACUCCUUGGUCCUACCCCAUCUUGGCUUCCCUAGCCACUGAAGUUGGCAUCCAGCAAUCUCCUCCUAAAUUGCAGAGAUUAAGUAAAAACUUCAGGGUUGGAGUGACCCUCCAAAGAAUGUCUGCUGUGAAACAUUAGAGAAAGAGAAAGCCAGUCUAGUAGUGAAUGGCAGUAUUGCAGGCCAGUUGGGAACACAAGUCCCUUCUUCCUACAAAGAAGGCGUUGCUUAGGACCAAGUCAAUGAGGAAGCAAGCAGAGGAGGGCAGAGGCAUUACCAGUCAGGGGCAGGCAGGGCCUGGGGAGGGACAGAAGCUCUUGUCCCUGCGCCUGGUGGCACCUAGAUGAGUACUGAACAGCAGGGGGUGUUUUCUGAAGAGCAGAAGGCUGGACAUACUUAGGCCCUCACACCAUCUUCUCAUUAAGCAUCUUGGGUUCACCUUCUCAGCUCUAAUCUGGCCUCCAUUUGUUUUUUGUU